CCUACGGGGGGCAGCAGUGAGGAAUAUUGGUCAAUGGCCGGAAGGCUGAACCAGCCAUGCCGCGUGAAGGUCAGUGCCCUAUGGGCGUUAAACUUCUUUUGUGCGGGAGCAAUAAUGGUCACGUGUGGCCAGACGAGAGUACCGUACGAAUAAGCAUCGGCUAACACCGUGCCAGCAGCCGCGGUAAUACGGGGGAUGCAAGCGUUAUCCGGAUUUAUUGGGUGUAAAGGGUGCGUAGGCUGUGAGGUAAGUCAGCGGUGAAAUGCCCCCGCGCAACGGGGUGAAGUGCCAUUGAUACUGGCUGGCUGGAAUGCGGAUGACGUGGGAGGAAUGUGUGGUGUAGCGGUGAAAUGCAUAGAUAUCACACAGAACACCGAUUGCGAAGGCAUCUCACGAAUCCGCGAUUGACGCUGAUGCACGAAAGCGUGGGUAUCAAACAGGAUUAGAUACCCGGGUAGUC
RNAcentral lists this ribosomal RNA (460 nucleotides) under uncultured bacterium. Its description in RNAcentral is "partial 16S ribosomal RNA". It matches the Rfam family "Bacterial small subunit ribosomal RNA", at positions 338 to 795 of the family's 1533-position model. The record is from RNAcentral.